GAUGAACGCUGGCGGCGUGCUUAACACAUGCAAGUCGAACGGUGAAGGCGGAGCUUGCUCUGCUGGAUCAGUGGCGAACGGGUGAGUAACACGUGAGCAAUCUGCCCCUGACUCUGGGAUAAGCGCUGGAAACGGCGUCUAAUACUGGAUACGAGCUGCGGAGGCAUCUUCAGCAGCUGGAAAGAAUUUCGGUCAGGGAUGAGCUCGCGGCCUAUCAGCUUGUUGGUGAGGUAAUGGCUCACCAAGGCGUCGACGGGUAGCCGGCCUGAGAGGGUGACCGGCCACACUGGGACUGAGACACGGCCCAGACUCCUACGGGAGGCAGCAGUGGGGAAUAUUGCACAAUGGGCGAAAGCCUGAUGCAGCAACGCCGCGUGAGGGACGACGGCCUUCGGGUUGUAAACCUCUUUUAGCAGGGAAGAAGCGAAAGUGACGGUACCUGCAGAAAAAGCGCCGGCUAACUACGUG
RNAcentral lists this ribosomal RNA (468 nucleotides) under uncultured bacterium. RNAcentral describes it as "partial 16S ribosomal RNA". It matches the Rfam family "Bacterial small subunit ribosomal RNA", at positions 28 to 507 of the family's 1533-position model. The record is from RNAcentral.